RNAcentral lists this ribosomal RNA (292 nucleotides) under uncultured bacterium. RNAcentral's name for it is "partial 16S ribosomal RNA". It matches the Rfam family "Bacterial small subunit ribosomal RNA", at positions 505 to 796 of the family's 1533-position model. The record is from RNAcentral.
GUGCCAGCAGCCGCGGUAAUACAGAGGGGGCUAGCGUUAUUCGGAAUUAUUGGGCGUAAAGGGCGCGUAGGCGGCCAUGCGUGUCUUCCGUGAAAUCCCUCGGCUUAACUGAGGACGUGCGGAAGAAACUGCAAGGCUCGAGUCCGGGAGAGGGGGGUGGAAUUCCCAGUGUAGCGGUGAAAUGCGUAGAUAUUGGGAGGAACACCGGUGGCGAAGGCGGCCCCCUGGACCGGUACUGACGCUGAGGCGCGAAAGCGUGGGUAGCAAACGGGAUUAGAAACCCCCGUAGUCC